GGAGCUAGCGUUGUUCGGAAUUACUGGGCGUAAAGCGCACGUAGGCGGCUCAGCAAGUCAGGGGUGACAUCCCGGGGCUCACCCCCGGAACUGCCCUUGAAACUGCUAAGCUAGAAUCCUGGAGAGGCGAGUGGAAUUCCGAGUGUAGAGGUGAAAUUCGUAGAUAUUCGGAAGAACACCAGUGGCGAAGGCGACUCGCUGGACAGGUAUUGACGCUGAGGUGCGAAAGCGUGGGGAGCAAACAGG
Molecule: ribosomal RNA, 246 nt
Filed under: uncultured bacterium
Lineage: Bacteria
Description: partial 16S ribosomal RNA
Rfam family: Bacterial small subunit ribosomal RNA
Source: RNAcentral